RNAcentral lists this ribosomal RNA (440 nucleotides) under uncultured bacterium. Its description in RNAcentral is "partial 16S ribosomal RNA". It matches the Rfam family "Bacterial small subunit ribosomal RNA", at positions 338 to 795 of the family's 1533-position model. The record is from RNAcentral.
CCUACGGGUGACAGCAGUAGGGAAUAUUGCUCAAUGGGGGAAACUCUGAAGCAGCAACGCCGCGUGGAGGAUGAAGGUUUUCGGAUUGUAAACUCCUUUUGUUAGAGAAGAUAAUGACGGUAUCUAACGAAUAAGCAUCGGCUAACUCCGUGCCAGCAGCCGCGGUAAUACGGAGGGUGCAAGCGUUACUCGGAAUCACUGGGCGUAAAGAGCGCGUAGGCGGGAUAGCAAGUCAGAUGUGAAAUCCUAUGGCUUAACCAAGGAACUGCAUUUAAAACUAUUAUUCUAGAGUAUGGGAGAGGUAGGUGGAAUUCUUGGUGUAGGGGUAAAAUCCGUAGAGAUCAGGAGGAAUACUCGUUGCGAAGGCGACCUGCUAGAACGUAACUGACGCUGAUGCACGAAAGCGUGGGGAGCAAACAGGAUUAGAUACCCGUGUAGUC